UCACUUUUUAAAGCAACUCUAAUAAAACCGGACAGACACAGAGAAGAAUAGUAUGGCUCUGUGACAGGAUAACUAAGUCUAUCUGUGAGACAUUCUAUAUUUCU
Small nuclear RNA from Phodopus roborovskii (desert hamster), 104 nucleotides. The record is from RefSeq and is a predicted model, not a curated record. Lineage: Eukaryota; Metazoa; Chordata; Mammalia; Rodentia; Cricetidae.